UAACAUGCUCAUCUACGUGCACAGCC
RNAcentral lists this non-coding RNA (26 nucleotides) under Homo sapiens (human). Lineage: Eukaryota; Metazoa; Chordata; Mammalia; Primates; Hominidae. The record is from RNAcentral.